RNAcentral lists this ribosomal RNA (254 nucleotides) under uncultured bacterium. Its description in RNAcentral is "partial 16S ribosomal RNA". It matches the Rfam family "Bacterial small subunit ribosomal RNA", at positions 524 to 776 of the family's 1533-position model. The record is from RNAcentral.
UACGAGGGGGGCAAGUGUUGUUCGGAAUCACUGGGCGUAAAGGGAGCGUAGGCGGAUGUUUAAGUCGGGAGUUUAAAAACCGGGGCCCAACCCCGGAGCGGCUCCCGAAACUGGGCAUCUUGAAUAGGUCAGAGGCUGGUGGAAUUGGAGGUGUAGCGGUGGAAUGCGUAGAGAUCUCCAAGAACACCUAUUGCGAAGGCAGCCAGCUGGGACCAUAUUGACGCUGAGGCUCGAAAGCAUGGGGAGCAAACAGG